CCAAUAGCGCAUAUUAAAGUUGUUGCAGUUAAAAAGCUCGUAGUUGAAUUUCGGGGUCAGUAGGUUGGUCAUGCCACUGGUAUGUACUGAUCUUACUGAUUCCUCCUUCCUGAUGAACCGUAAUGCCAUUAAUUUGGUGUUGCGGGGAGACUGGACUGUUACUUUGAAAAAAUUAGAGUGUUUAAAGCAGGCUAACGCUUGAAUACAUUAGCAUGGAAUAAUGAAAUAGGACGUUCGAUCCUAUUUUGUUGGCUUCUAGGAUUGACGUAAUGAUUAAUAGGGAUAGUUGGGGGCAUUAGUAUUCAAUUGUCAGAGGUGAAAUUCUUGGAUUUAUUGAAGACUAACUACUGCGAAAGCAUUUGCCAAGGAUGUUUUCAUUAAUCAAGAACGAAGGUUAGGGGAUCGAAGACGAUCAGAUACCGUCGUAGUCUUAACCAUAAACUAUGCCGACUAGGGAUCGGAUGAUGUUAAUUUUUUAAUGACUCAUUCGGCGCCUUACG
RNAcentral lists this ribosomal RNA (500 nucleotides) under uncultured Glomeromycotina. RNAcentral's name for it is "partial small subunit ribosomal RNA". It matches the Rfam family "Eukaryotic small subunit ribosomal RNA", at positions 591 to 1092 of the family's 1831-position model. The record is from RNAcentral. Lineage: Eukaryota; Fungi; Glomeromycota.